SCCUAAUCGGGCGGUAAAUUCCGUCCAAGGCUAAAUACGGGCGAGAGACCGAUAGCAAACAAGUACCGCGAGGGAAAGAUGAAAAGGACUUUGAAAAGAGAGUCAAAGAGUGCUUGAAAUUGUCGGGAGGGAAGCGGAUGGGGGCCGGCGGUGCGUCCCGGUCGGAUGUGGAACGGUGUUGAGCCGGUCCGCCGAUCGACUCGGGACGUGGACCGACGCGGAUCGCGAUGGCGGCCCAAGCCCGGGCCUUUGUUACGCUCGUGGAGACGUCGUCGUCGCGAUCGUGGCUUGCAGCGCGCGCCUCAUGGCGUGCUUCGGCAACUGCGCGCUCCUGGCGUCGGCCUGUGGGCUCCCCAUUCGGCCCGUCUUGAAACACGGACCAAGGAGUCUGACAUGUGUGCGAGUCAACGGGCGAGUAAACCCGUAAGGCGCAAGGAAGCUGACUGGCGGGAUCCCCUUGUGGGUUGCACCGCCGACCGACCUUGAUCUUCUGAGAAGGGUUCGAGUGAGAGCAUGCCUGUCGGGACCCGAAAGAUGGUGAACUAUGCCUGAGCG
This 555-nucleotide ribosomal RNA is filed under the name Datisca glomerata. Its description in RNAcentral is "eukaryotic LSU rRNA". It matches the Rfam family "Eukaryotic large subunit ribosomal RNA", at positions 286 to 843 of the family's 3401-position model. Lineage: Eukaryota; Viridiplantae; Streptophyta; Magnoliopsida; Cucurbitales; Datiscaceae. The record is from RNAcentral.